Molecule: ribosomal RNA, 288 nt
Filed under: uncultured marine eukaryote
Lineage: Eukaryota
Description: partial 18S ribosomal RNA
Rfam family: Eukaryotic small subunit ribosomal RNA
Source: RNAcentral
UUGCAGUUAAAACGCUCGUAGUCGGAUUUCGGGGCAGGUUUGCCGGUCUGCCGAUGGGUAUGCACUGGUAGAACUGUCCUUCCUUCCGGAGACGGCGCCUACUCUUAACUGAGCGGGUGUCGGAGACGGAUCGUUUACUUUGAAAAAAUCAGAGUGUUUCAAGCAGGCAGCUCGCUUUUGCAUGGAUUAGCAUGGGAUAAUGAAAUAGGACUUUGGUGCUAUUUUGUUGGUUUCGAACACCGAAGUAAUGAUUAACAGGGGACAGUCAGGGGCACUCGGUAUUCCGCC